CUAAUACCGCAUAACACUUACGAGUCAAAGCAGCAAUGCGCUUGGAGAGGAGUUCGCGGCCGAUUAGUUAGUUGGCGGGGUAAUGGCCCACCAAGACGAUGAUCGGUAUCCGGCCUGAGAGGGCGCACGGACACACUGGAACUGAAACACGGUCCAGACUCCUACGGGAGGCAGCAGUGGGGAAUUUUGCGCAAUGGGGGAAACCCUGACGCAGCAACGCCGCGUGGAGGAUGAAAUCCCUUGGGAUGUAAACUCCUUUCGAUCGGGACGAUUAUGACGGUACCGGAAGAAGAAGCCCCGGCUAACUUCGUGCCAGCAGCCGCGGUAAUACGAGGGGGGCAAGCGUUGUUCGGAAUUAUUGGGCGUAAAGGGCGCGUAGGCGGUCUGACAAGUCUGACGUGAAAUCUCUGGGCUCAACCCAGAGUCUGCAUUAGAAACUGUCGGGCUUGAGUAUGGGAGAGGUAAGUGGAAUUUCCGGUGUAGCGGUGAAAUGCGUAGAUAUCGGAAGGAACACCUGUGGCGAAAGCGCCUUACUGGACCAUAACUGACGCUGAGGCGCGAAAGCUAGGGGAGCAAACA
RNAcentral lists this ribosomal RNA (579 nucleotides) under uncultured bacterium. Its description in RNAcentral is "bacterial SSU rRNA". It matches the Rfam family "Bacterial small subunit ribosomal RNA", at positions 163 to 774 of the family's 1533-position model. The record is from RNAcentral.